GACGAACGCUGGCGGCGUGCUUAACACAUGCAAGUCGAACGGAAAGGCCCUGCUUUUGUGGGGUGCUCGAGUGGCGAACGGGUGAGUAACACGUGAGUAACCUGCCCUUGACUUUGGGAUAACUUCAGGAAACUGGGGCUAAUAUCGGAUAGGAGCUCCUGCUGCAUGGUGGGGGUUGGAAAGUUUCGGCGGUUGGGGAUGGACUCGCGGCUUAUCAGCUGGUUGGUGGGGUAGUGGCUUACCAAGGCUUUGACGGGUAGCCGGCCUUAGAGGGUGACCGGCCACAUUGGGACUAAGAGAGGGCCCAGAAUCCUACGGGAGGCAGCGGGGGGGAAUAUUACACAAUGGGCGGAAGCCUGAUGCAGCAACGCCGCGUGCGGGAUGACGGCUUUCGGGUUGUAAACCGCUUUCGCCUGUGACGAAGCGUGAGUGACGGUAAUGGGUAAAGAAGCACCGGCUAACUACGUG
RNAcentral lists this ribosomal RNA (468 nucleotides) under uncultured bacterium. Its description in RNAcentral is "partial 16S ribosomal RNA". It matches the Rfam family "Bacterial small subunit ribosomal RNA", at positions 28 to 507 of the family's 1533-position model. The record is from RNAcentral.